ACUGUACAUUUCAAAUUUUUUAUUCAGUUAGGAUGGGCGAGAAUGUAAGGACAUUGUGAACCUACUUUGAAAUGUUUAUCAUGUUGAUAUGCUUUUUGUUGUGCUGUCAGUUGUUAUGCUGUCAGAUGGGUGCAGCAAGUUUGACUGCAACGAAAUAUCGUAACUAGGCUGCGUACUUUUCAAGCUUACCGAAGACACCACCCAAUAAUGCGACACCUAGUGUUUGAACUAGUAAACCGGAUGGAAUAUUCCAAUAUUCAAAUUUAUUACGCAGUAACAUGCCAAAUUGCGUCGUAGAGAAUAAAUCGGUGCAGUAUUGUUUAAGAAUAGCGAGAAAUACCUAAUGCAAUAAAAUCUCUCUCUUAAAUCGAACAAUAGACGGGAUUAGCGCUGCAGCGAUUAGGAUCUGCCCAAUCUAACUCGCGUCGGGUUGAUCAUAAUUGUGGAGUGCGUACAACUGAACAGUCCAACUUUCGAAGUGACUUUAAAGUUUGAUUAAAGCUAAUUCUUAUUGUGUAACACUAAACUCGAAUGAUUCAAUUAAUCGAGUGUGAUAAAAGUUUUUAGAGAAAAUCCCACCAUUGGGAUAGUUUGUGAUAAUUCGUGCUUUGGAUUAGUGAACAUUCCUAAAUUCAGGAGAUCGAGCCCAGCCAACGUGGGCGGUUUGUGCGGAGUGACUACGGUCCAACGGUUGCGGAAGCCACGUGCGUCGUCGUUUGAAUUUCGCACCGACGCGACGCCAAGGGGACGCCUAUCGAAGCCCACAUCUCGUCGCAUAGCUGUUUCGACAGUCGUGCAACAAAACCCGCACGUGUGACACGACUCGCAAGUCCAUCAGUCGCGUGGUGUCAGCCGUGACAUUUUUAACGGAAACACUCCACAGUGCUAGGGGAUAUCUGUACCCCGAAAGAAGACACCAGCGUGCGAGUCCUGUGGGUGGCGUAUAUUGUUGGCUCGAAACUGCCGCAUUGAGGGUUCGCUACGUAGUCUGUGCCAAGUCCAAGGACAUCCGACGUGGGAUCGCCGGAAGAAGACAAGGUCAGAUCUGUCCUUUGCUCGAAAACUGUUUCUAGAAACAAAUCCUGUUUAUUAUAAUUGAAUUGAGAACGUGACGUCACACACGGUUAGGGAACUAGGCUUUCCUUAAUUUAAUAAAUCAAUUUCUACUUAUUGCACGGUCAUUACUCGAAAAAUUGAUCGCUUCUAUUAUUUCGCGUGCGUAAAUUGAAUAAAACGAAUAAAAUUACUUCUAGUUUAGACCACACUCCACUUUGCUUUCGUCACGGAUUUUUUUUUAUUAGAUUUAAGGUUGAAAUUUUCCUAUUAGUUGCUAAGCUUUUUUCUUAUUGUUUGAUUUUUGAGGUUUGUAUAUAUUUUUCUUAGUUUUUAUGUUCAAUUUGAAGUUGGUAAGUACUGAAUUGGUUUAUUGGCUACGACGUUUUGGUGUUGUUGAAGUGCGACUUCGGUUCUGGUGGAACUUAAACCUGCCCUGAGUUGGCAGUCUCAUCCGGGUAAAACUUAGCAGAGCUAACGGUCCUUCUUUAGAGGAGGUGGCGCUUAAGCCGCUAGCUUUUGGAACAGGACGGAACGUUACAAUUGAACACAAUUCUUCACAUUUCUUUUCACAAUCAAUAAAUUAUUUCAAAACUACACAGAACAAACACUCGCACCCGCGGAAGUACCAUCCGGAUGGCGUAGCACCGGUCAAACCGUCGGCGAAAUCGCGAAAAAGAAAAAAAAACUAACAAACGCGAUCGAAAUGUGACGAGCAGCUUAGAAAACGUCUGCACGCGGCAAAGCCUACUGCGCUCUCCUAGCAUAUUUAACAAAUUCAUUUAGCUUUUAUAGUUAAGAAUACUUACUAAGUUAACGUUUAAACUAGUUUACAAACGCUUUUGGAGUACCCGAAACUACAGAUGAUCGCGUGUAGUUCACCUAAACUAAAAUAUCAAUUUUUAGGGGUUUAUUUGAACAUUUUACCUUUAAAUUAAAGAGCAAUAGCUUACUAUAUUACUGCAUGUAAAUGACCACUAAAUUUUACUUAUUUUAUUAGUUUAAACAAUAGAAAUUCAAUGAUUUUAAUAACCUUUAAUAGCAGCUUC
Aedes albopictus (Asian tiger mosquito) is the source of this 2102-nucleotide long non-coding RNA. RefSeq lists it as uncharacterized. Lineage: Eukaryota; Metazoa; Arthropoda; Insecta; Diptera; Culicidae. The record is from RefSeq and is a predicted model, not a curated record. The transcript is spliced from 3 exons.